This 497-nucleotide ribosomal RNA is filed under the name uncultured bacterium. RNAcentral's name for it is "partial 16S ribosomal RNA". It matches the Rfam family "Bacterial small subunit ribosomal RNA", at positions 28 to 507 of the family's 1533-position model. The record is from RNAcentral.
GAUGAACGCUGGCGGCGUGCCUAAUACAUGCAAGUCGAGCGAACAGAUAAGGAGCUUGCUCCUUUGACGUUAGCGGCGGACGGGUGAGUAACACGUGGGUAACCUACCUAUAAGACUGGGAUAACUUCGGGAAACCGGAGCUAAUACCGGAUAACAUUUGGAACCGCAUGGUUCUAAAGUGAAAGAUGGUUUUGCUAUCACUUAUAGAUGGACCCGCGCCGUAUUAGCUAGUUGGUAAGGUAACGGCUUACCAAGGCGACGAUACGUAGCCGACCUGAGAGGGUGAUCGGCCACACGGGAACAGAGACACGGUCCAGACUCCUACGGAGGGCAGCAGUAGGGAAUCUUCCGCAAUGGGCGAAAGCCUGACGGAGCAACGCCGCGUGAGUGAUGAAGGGUUUCGGCUCGUAGAACUCUGUUAUUAGGGAAGAACAAACGUGUAAGUAACUGUGCACGUCAUGACGGUACCUAAUCAGAAAGCCACGGCUAACUACGUG